CAGUCGCCACGGUAAUACCAGCAGCCCAAGUGGUGGUCGCGAUUAUUGGGCCUAAAGCGCUCGUAGCCGGGCCGGUAAGUCCCUUGUGAAAUCGGACGGCCUAACCGUUCGGCGUGCAAGGGAUACUGUCGGUCUUGAGGCCGGGAGACGUCCGAGGUACUCCGGGGGUAGCGGUGAAAUGUUCUGAUCCUCGGGGGACCACCGGUGGCGAAGGCGUUCGACGAGAACGAGCCUGACGGUGAGGGGCGAAGGCUAGGGGAGCAAACGGGAUUAGAUACCCCCGUAGUCCCUGUUUCUUAUU
This 301-nucleotide ribosomal RNA is filed under the name uncultured bacterium. Its description in RNAcentral is "partial 16S ribosomal RNA". It matches the Rfam family "Archaeal small subunit ribosomal RNA", at positions 459 to 759 of the family's 1478-position model. The record is from RNAcentral.